RNAcentral lists this ribosomal RNA (505 nucleotides) under uncultured bacterium. RNAcentral's name for it is "partial 16S ribosomal RNA". It matches the Rfam family "Bacterial small subunit ribosomal RNA", at positions 899 to 1397 of the family's 1533-position model. The record is from RNAcentral.
ACUCAAAUGAAUAGACGGGGGCCCGCACAAGCGGUGGAGCAUGUGGUUCAAUUCGACGCAACGCGAAGAACCUUACCUGGGCUCGAACGGCGGGUAGUAGGCGCUUGAAAGAGCAACGAUCUCACUUUGUGAGAAGCCCGUCGAGGUGCUGCAUGGCUGUCGUCAGCUCGUGCCGUGAGGUGUUGGGUUAAGUCCCGCAACGAGCGCAACCCUCGCUCCUAGUUGCUACCAGGUCACGCUGAGCACUCUAGGAGGACCGCCAGCGAUAAGCUGGAGGAAGGUGGGGAUGACGUCAAGUCAUCAUGGCCUUUAUGUCCAGGGCUACACACGUGCUACAAUGGACGGUACAAAGGGCUGCAAGCCGGCGACGGCAAGCCAAUCCCAAAAAACCGUUCUCAGUUCGGAUUGCAGUCUGCAACUCGACUGCAUGAAGCUGGAAUCGCUAGUAAUCGCGGAUCAGCGCGCCGCGGUGAAUACGUUCCCGGGCCUUGUACACACCGCCCGU